This 492-nucleotide ribosomal RNA is filed under the name uncultured bacterium. Its description in RNAcentral is "partial 16S ribosomal RNA". It matches the Rfam family "Bacterial small subunit ribosomal RNA", at positions 29 to 507 of the family's 1533-position model. The record is from RNAcentral.
AGUGAACGCUGGCGGUAGGCCUAACACAUGCAAGUCGAACGGCAGCACAGUAAGAGCUUGCUCUUACGGGUGGCGAGUGGCGGACGGGUGAGGAAUACAUCGGAAACUACUUUUUCGUGGGGGAUAACGUAGGGAAACUUACGCUAAUACCGUAUACGACCUACGGGUGAAAGCAGGGGAUCUUCGGACCUUGCGCGAUUGAAUGAGCCGAUGUCGGAUUAGCUAGUUGGCGGGGUAAAGGCCCACCAAGGCGACGAUCCGUAGCUGGUCUGAGAGGAUGAUCAGCCACACUGGAACUGAGACACGGUCCAGACUCCUACGAGAGGCAGCAGUGGGGAAUAUUGGACAAUGGGCGCAAGCCUGAUCCAGCCAUACCGCGUGGGUGAAGAAGGCCUUCGGGUUGUAAAGCCCUUUUGUUGGGAAAGAAAAGCAGCAGGUUAAUACCCCGCUGUUCUGACGGUACCCAAAGAAUAAGCACCGGCUAACUUCGUG